This is an RNA transcript of Amphiprion ocellaris (clown anemonefish), 1193 nucleotides long. It is a transcript of the gene named complement C3-like, with no coding region annotated. Lineage: Eukaryota; Metazoa; Chordata; Actinopteri; Pomacentridae. The transcript is spliced from 7 exons. The record is from RefSeq and is a predicted model, not a curated record.
GGGGCAGUAGCGCCCCCUGCUCUGAUAAGGAUAAGGAUAAACUUUAUUGAUCCCACAGUGGGUAAAGUUCACCGAGCUGCUUCACUGAGGAGAGUCUUUUAGUUUUCAGGUAAUAUGAUGGCGAAGAAAAUGUGUUACUGCAGUAAAGAUUCCACUGAAUUAUUAUUUGAUCCAUGAUCGAGAGCACUCAGUUCUUCUCCAGUUUGUUGCUGCGGUCCGGUGAACAGGUGAGCUCCAGGUGAACAGGUGAUGUCAGCAGCAGGUCAGUCUGUGAUUGGAGCAGUAAAACCCAUCUACAUGAAAUUAAAUGUUAUGCUAAUGUAGAUGCACUCAUGUGACAUAAAGUGGACUAGGUUUAGAGCCAGGAUUUUAAACUUUUGUAUCUCUGUGUUCCCCCCGCUGACCUGAGCAGGUGGUACGUUCCACUCAGACACACCUGACGGGGUCAGACCACCAACACACAAGCCCCACCGCUGCAGUUUAUUUAACCUUCAAGUAGUUUUAUCGAUCUUUUCAUGGUUUCUUCAUCUUUGAAUGAAUAUUUUUGGCACUAAGUGUCAACUUUUUGAACGGACUCUGCUCGUCAGAUGGAGGAACGUCAGGGAGUUUGUUGGAAGAUUCAGCAGAGGCUCAUGGGUAACGUGGUUCUGAGGCAGCCAGGAGCAGAGGCUCAUGGGUAACGUGUCUCUGAGCCAGCCAGGAGCAGGGCUAACAGUUCCCACCUGUUGCCAGCCUUUGUGCGAAGCUCAAAGUCGGGCCAGUGGACGGCAUUUGCAGAGACUAUGCGCCUGGGAAGAGCUUCAGCUUUCAGAUCAGAGGUGACCCGGGUGCAAAAGUCAGCCUGGUGGCUGUGGACAACGCUGUGUAUCUUCUCAACAAGGCCAGACUCACACAGAGGAAGAUUUGGGACGUGGUGGAGCAUGGAGACAUUGGCUGCACCCGUGGGGGAGGCUGAGAUGCUAAGGGGGUGUUUUCAGAUGCAGGACUGAUGCAGGACUGCUUUAGGACUGCUUUACUCCUCCAGUACCGGGUUCAAAACUACAACCACACAAACCCUGCAGUGUCCAGGCAGUACCAGAAGGAGACGCUCUGCUGAACUGUUGAAGCGUAAAGCUCAGCUGGAGAGCCACUACAAGGAGAAGCUGCAGCAUCGCUGCUGUAAAGACGGCCUCAGGGAGAUCCCGAUGCCGUAU